UCAAGAAUUUUAAAAGCAAACCAAAAUGCAAUCUGCACGAAUUCUUGCUCUAGAGUAGUUGCAAAGACAAAAACUUCGAGAGGCAAGAAUGCAGAGGAGAAUCCUUAGAAGCUCCUCCGAUUUUCUUUCGCAAACAGAUGGAACGUUUCGAUACAAUUUUCGUCUUGAUAAACAACAUUAAAGCGGUCGCCCCGAGUAAAUCCUUUGGAAAUGUCGAUAUUUUCGCGAAUGAAUCGCAAGAAUAUGGCGGCAGCUUGUGCUGCUGACCCUGAAAAUAAGCAACGUUUAUUAGCUUUUUGCAAAGAAAUAAUAGAAAUAAUUCGUUAACACAACAUUUCGAUAAGUUCUCCGAAAAUUGAUAUUUUAAAGUUCGAGUAAAUUGGUAUCACUGUCAGGCUGGACGGUUUGCAGACGGUUUUUUUAGCUAAUUUUUUCAAGAUGGCUUAUAAAAUGCUUAUUUUUAAAUAUAACCCGAUGUAUAUAUAAAAAUUGUAGUA
Molecule: long non-coding RNA, 497 nt
Organism: Drosophila subpulchrella
Lineage: Eukaryota; Metazoa; Arthropoda; Insecta; Diptera; Drosophilidae
Exons: 3
Source: RefSeq, a predicted model, not a curated record